Musa acuminata AAA Group (dessert banana) is the source of this 970-nucleotide long non-coding RNA. RefSeq lists it as uncharacterized. The record is from RefSeq and is a predicted model, not a curated record. The transcript is spliced from 2 exons. Lineage: Eukaryota; Viridiplantae; Streptophyta; Magnoliopsida; Zingiberales; Musaceae.
CAUCGCUUGGGUGUGCAUUCAUAUGUUUCCACUGGUUUGUGCAGGGUUUGGAACACUCGCCUGACUGCGAGUAAUCCAUCACCAUGUCCAUGCAAAGGUUGACUGGAUGUCAGCUAUUACAUAUGUAUGUGAGUGUGAAUUGGAUGGACGAAUGCUGUUGACUCUUAUAUUCUAUUCACGUACAUAUAUGUAUAUGUCUGCAAAUGACAAAGACAUGUAAGGGAAAGCACAGGGUACAUAGGUCAUUGAACAUGGUCCCGGUACAUGGUUGUAGUAGGUUAUAGCGCGGCGUUGAAAGACCACAUCCGAGGCAGAGACGCAUAAAGGAAGAAGAUAAGGGUUUUCAUGAGAGAGAGAAAGGAAGGCAAGAGAGAUCCAGCAUGUCCGAAGGAUCUCCUGCGACAGUAUCCUUUAGCUUUGGCAAUCAUCCCUGGUCUUUGUUGCUCUACAUCGUGGGAGCCUGUGCUCGCUGCCUGGGCUGCUCAGUUUCCUCCGGUGGUGGUGCUCAGGAUCCUUCCACGGGAGAUCAAGCUAAUGACAUGGACCCCACUGCAGAUGGGUCUGGGGUCGAGACCAAGGCAGCGAGGAGGCCCAGGAGGCCACCACCGAGCGAAGGGCGAGGAGGUCAGAUCAACUGAGCAAGCACAUGUUACCCUCCUUUGGCAUCAGUGCAUGAAGGAAUAGUUCAGAGUUGGUCGGAGUAAAUUACUAUGCAGCUAUCAACGUUCUCUCAGUCCAAACACUUAAUACUUCUGUAGAGCUCUCUCCAAGUUCUUCUUAUGUGCCUAUUUGUCUGUGAGUUGAUACUGUCCGAGUUCUUCUUUUCAUUACUUCUAAACCACCAUGUCAUCAAGCCGAGCUCGAGAUAUACAAGAAGGAAUGUUCAGUUCUCCUUUCCUUUAGGUAGUUUCUUGUUUCAUGUUCCAUUCGAUCUGUAAAAAAGGUCACACCAAAGCUUUCUCUGCGCCUA